CAUGACUUCUCCAGGGCAUUCCUAGAAAAGUAGGCUAGGAUAAAGACUUUUUGGAUGUUAGAACUGGUAUGACUUGAGGUCUAGACUUUGCUGAGGAUCGUCUGUGGACCUAAUAAAACCUCUAUGAAAAAUUCACCUCUGUGAAAGCUUUUCAUAAGAUCUGCCUUGUCAGUGAGGCCUAUGAUACUUGCUUACCUGGAAUCAGCAUGGGCCUGUCAUUUCCAGUGUGAGGAGUAAAUUUUUACUCCAGGCAGGAUUAAUGUAUACUGGCUGACCUUAAAUAUGACUCCCAAGUGAGCAGGAUCGUAGUUAAAAGAAGCAGAAGUAAUGGAGCUCACACAGGAAAUGCUGCGAAACAACGCUGCUAAAAAAGCCCAAAUGAUAGCUGUCCUUGACAUGCAAAGAAUUUCUGUUAUU
Long non-coding RNA from Mauremys mutica (yellowpond turtle), 417 nucleotides. RefSeq lists it as uncharacterized. The transcript is spliced from 3 exons. Lineage: Eukaryota; Metazoa; Chordata; Testudines; Geoemydidae. The record is from RefSeq and is a predicted model, not a curated record.